Molecule: RNA transcript, 6043 nt
Organism: Myxocyprinus asiaticus (Chinese sucker)
Lineage: Eukaryota; Metazoa; Chordata; Actinopteri; Cypriniformes; Catostomidae
Gene name: protein phosphatase 1A
Exons: 7
Source: RefSeq, a predicted model, not a curated record
AAAUACAGGGAUGAUGAUGAUGAUGAUGAUGGAGAUGAUGAUGUCAUUCUUUUAAGUGCGCAGCCCUGCUAAAUCCACAUCCGGGUCUUGCGCUGCUGCUGAUGUGCAGAGAUUCGGUUCCGAGCACAGCGGACCAAAACAGCGGUCAAACCUGACGCUUUUCACUUUACACCUAUAUUCAGGACGCAAAAUAAAUGGGAAUAAUGCAUCCCUGGCUCAAACAGAAAAGGGAGGUCCGCUCUUUCACAGACUGAAUGCAAAGCAAAACAAUCUGCCAGCCUGUCUCUCUCUCUCUCUCUCUUUCUCUCUCUUCAGCGCCGCGCUCAGUUUAUAUCUCUUUCUUUCUGUUUGUCCUUUUUUCUUCUUCUGUUUUUUUCUUCUGCCACAGAACCCUCCAGGACGUAUUUUAAAGGAUUCUUAAGCCGCUGAGAUGGGUGCAUUUCUGGAUAAGCCAAAGAUGGAGAAGCACAACGCUCACGGGGUUGGGAACAACUUGCGCUACGGCCUGAGCAGCAUGCAGGGCUGGCGCGUGGAGAUGGAGGAUGCGCACACUGCUGUCAUCGGUCUGCCCAACGGCCUCGACCCCUGGUCUUUCUUUGCUGUUUACGACGGGCAUGCGGGGUCGCAGGUGGCACGUUACUGCUGCGAGCACCUCCUGGAGCACAUCACCAGCAACCCUGACUUCCAGGGUGGUGGUGGAGGCGGGGGUGAGAACGUGGAGCCCAGCGUGGACAGUGUAAAAUCCGGAAUCCGUACAGGUUUCCUGCAGAUCGAUGAUCACAUGCGGCAGAUUUCGGAGAAGAAGCAUGCUGGUGCCGACCGCAGCGGCUCGACAGCCGUCGGUGUGAUGAUCUCACCCCGCCACAUCUACUUUAUCAACUGCGGAGACUCGCGGGGGCUGCUGAGCCGUGGAGGGGCUGUGCACUUCUUCACACAGGACCACAAACCCAGCAACCCACUGGAGAAGGAGCGAAUCCAAAACGCUGGAGGAUCUGUGAUGAUUCAGCGUGUGAAUGGGUCCCUGGCAGUUUCCAGGGCUUUGGGGGACUUUGAUUAUAAGUGUGUGCACGGGAAGGGACCCACGGAGCAGCUGGUGUCGCCAGAGCCUGAGGUGUAUGCUAUCGAGCGGUCGGAGGCAGAGGACGAGUUUAUUGUUCUGGCUUGCGAUGGGAUCUGGGAUGUGAUGGCAAAUGAGGAGCUCUGCGAUUUUGUUCGUUCACGGCUUGAGGUUACCGAUGAUCUGGAAAGGGUCUGCAAUGAAAUUGUAGAUACCUGUUUGUACAAGGGAAGCCGUGACAACAUGAGUGUUGUGUUGGUGUGUUUCGUUGGUGCACCGAAGGUUUCCCCCGAAGCUGUCAAAAGGGAGGCGGAGCUUGAUAAGUACCUGGAAGGCAGAGUAGAAGAGAUCCUUAAGAGGCAGGGGGACGAGGGUGUGCCAGACCUGGUACAUGUGAUGCGUAUGUUAGCAUCUGAGAGCAUCCCCAACCUACCACCUGGAGGAGAGCUGGCCAGCAAGCGGAGUGUAAUUGAAGCAGUAUACAACAAGCUUAACCCAUACAGGAACGAGGAUACAAUCUGACCAGCCAAGUAAUUCAUUGAUGUUUCCUAAAAGUGGAGCUUUUUGCAAGAUCUCCAAAAAGCUUGUUGGCACUCAAACAACAUCAAGUCUGUCACUUUCAAUCAGAUAUCAGUUUGGCCAAUUCAACCCAAGAUGGACUCUGCAUCCACGGAUGACAUGUGGUAGCCCCGCACCUUUAAACACUGCACAGAGAAUCCUUCCACAGGACCCGGCACCAGAACUCUGCACAAGAGCCCUCAACCAGACAACUACAACAGAAACUGCACAAGAACCCUACCACAGCCCAGCUCAGCUGCUCUGAACUGUUAAGAGGAAGAGAAAGAGGAUGGAGUUGAGGGCUCCCUCCCUUGUUCACAUAAUCUUCCCUCUCAGAGCAAGGCAAUGGUACCUUCUGGAAAUUUCUGCAUAUUAUUUUUUCCCGAAUGGCUCUCCUCCUUCCCAAAACCUUUUAUCCGUAACAUCACCCACUUAAAACAAAUCCAACACUUAUUUUCCAUUUGAUUUUUUUUUGUUGUUGGUUUUUUUGGUGUAAUUAUUAAUUUGAUUCACAUUUCCUUGUGUGUAUAUUUCAGCUUUUAUUUCUGUGAAGUGCAAUUGUCUUGUACAAAGAAAAGCCUGUAUCAAAUACAGCUUGAGUUUUAAGUUUAUAAAAAAGAAAAAAAAUGCACACAUUUAUUACCUGCCUGUUUUUCUGUUUCCUCUCCAACCGCUGAAGCCCAGCAUAAUGUCUGCCUCUCAUAUGUCUCCCUAGUUUCCUUUUACUAUCUUUUUUUAAACAAAAAAAACGUUUUGUAUUGUUACUUUUUAAGUGAAACGGGUAAAUGAUAUGGGCUCACAGUACAGUAAGCUUUUUGUAAAUCCCACAGCACAGUUGACAGUAAUUAUGUUCUCUCAGUACUACUGAUUUUCUUCUUCUGGUGAGGUGGGUCUUUUUUUCCCCUCUUCCUCUGAGGAAACUGCUUUAACUUUUGCUUAAAGGAAUGUUCUGGGUUCGAUACAAGUCAAGCUUAAUCGACAACAUUUGCAGCAUAAAACCGUCCCUCGUUUAUUUAAAAAAAGCAAAAAUUGCCGUUACCAUAAGGCACUUACAAUGAAAGUGAAUGGAGCCGUUUCAUAAACAUUAAAAUACACACUUUUUUGUAAUAGUAUAGCCACAAGAUGUAAACAUUAUGCUUUUUAACAUGAAUUUAGAGUGAUAAAAUCGCUUAAUCUGUGUGAAGUUAUUACCAAUAUUACAACUUUAUUGACAUUGCAACCUAGUCCCGGUUAACCCUGUAAUCUGGUUCAUGCCGUUACCCAGUUAAAUCACUAAUUUUAUCACACUAAAAUCAUGUUAACACAAUGUUUACAUCUUGUAGCUAUGCUUCUGCAAUGGUGUGUAUGCUAGUGUUUAUGGUCUGGCCCUAUUCACAUCCCUUGUAAAUGCCUCACUGUAACCUCGAUUUAAAAAAAAAUAUAUAUAUUAUUUUUUUACAUACGAGGGACGAUUCGUAAUAACUUUUUGAAAUGAAUUAUCAUUAUUCCACAAAUGCAGAUUGAGCUUAAGUUGUAUUGAACCUGGAACAUUCCUUUGAACUAAGCUGAACUUGUGUGUAUGUGUGUGAGGGAGAUAUAAAUAGUGUGUGUGUGUAAGAGGGUGUAUGUUUGAACCACCAAACUAUUCCCAUAGGAAAGCUUGCUUUUUUGUGUGUCUGUUACCUUAUGGGGCUAAACAUGACCCUCUCCCCUCUCCCCUCUUCACUUUUUAAGAUCGUAAACACUAGGACAGUGUUCUGCACUACUGCAGCUCUUGAUUUUAUAGUUUAAGACAGCCUGGGAGCAUCUUGGAGGAGCUUGUGUACUUGCUGAACAAAAAGGACUUGCUAGAAUUGUUAAGAAGCUUGCACUCAGAACUGAGACAGGCCCUCUUAAAUGUUUUGUGUGUGUGUGGUUGUCCAUGUAUAUUGUGUGAAUGGUUUUGUGUGAGAUUGCAUGUUUUAUUGUGCUUAAAAUUAUGUGGGUUUUAAUGGGGAUAUUUAGGUUUUUGACAAACAUAUAAGGCUAAUGUAUAGCUAUAUUGCUCGCUCACCCAUCUGCACUGCUGAGAGAGACUGAGUGUGUUUUUAUAUGUUCUGAGCUAAUUUAACACUCAGAUGUCACCACUCUAAACUGUUCAAGCUCUCAGACAUUUCCCUACUUAAAACAUUUGCAUAUUCUUAUAUUGAUUAUAUUGUAUCAGAACAUUUUUUUUUUUUUUUUUUUUUUUUUUGGGUAUCUUGCAGUUUUCAAUUAGAUUUUUUCUUUUUUUUUUCUUCAAAGAACAAAUAUAGUGUGAUUCAGUGAGCUGGCCCGGUUUAGGGUUGUGCCUGCAUGUGUUCCGCUGACCAGUAGGGAGCGCAACAGAGUUCUGUUUGCUGCUAAAAUGUGUUUGAUUUAUUCAUUGAUUUGAAUGCUCUUCCUUUAUUUUCUCCUGCACCCUUUUCCCUGUUGCCCCAAUGCUGUAUGUAACACGUAGAUUGGAAGUAAUUUAAUUUUUGAGAGGGGUUAAUGAGAUUGUCACUUAUAAAUGUGCAUUUGUCCUAUGAUUGUCUAAAAUGUGACAUGGUAAAAAUCAUCCUCUUUGUCCUUACCUCCCCAAACUAAGUCAUAUUUUUGGAAUAGAUUAUAUGCAUAGGAAUUCCCUUGAGUCUAAUAAAUAUAAAUCAGCUUAUUUUCUAACCCCAUGUAUUUGCCUACUGAAAAGGGAAGGUAAAAUGUGUCUUUUUUUCAUAAACCUUAAAGGGUGAUUUAUGAAAAUUUAGAACUAACGAUGUAACAAAAUGACAAUCUAACAGUGUAUAGCUAAUGUACACCGAACGAAGUUCCCUGUAUCCUCUAUGCUUUUGGCUUGUGUUGUAACAUGGGCUUUAAGAUGCAUUGUGUUUGUGUGUGGAAUGGUGAGCUGUAUGUUUUCCCCAGUGGAAGUUGGAAUAUUUGUGUAAUAGGAAGAUGAAUCUAAAACGAAAAUGAAUCUUAAAAUUAACAGGAAGUUUUAGGAUGGUCUUAGAGGUCUGGAUAUGUUCAUGUUUUUAUAUUUUUUUUGCAUCUGCAAAGCUGUGUGGAAUCCUUUGUCACUUUAGGAAUGUAGACUUGAGGAACAACGACUUUUUUUUUUUUUUUACAAAGGACUUUCAACUCACUUGUAUGUGAAUAUUGACAUGACAAAACUGAGAGUUGUUCCUGCAAUGCAUAUAUUCUAUGUAUGCAGUUUUGAGAUCCUUGGAUUGCUGUUAAGCUUGAUAUGCUCAUCAUUUGUAAAACAUCCACUUAGAUCUGGAUGGUUUUUAGAUCAAAAAGUCAAGUGUUACAUUUUUUAGGUUAAAGAGGGCCAUGAGGACAGGACCAGCAAGAUGUUAUGGCACACAUUGAAACUUCCCCAGUUAUAGAUGGUAGAAUUGUUUAUGAAUGUGUUUAUUACUAUGUUAUAUCUUGUCACUCAAGUUGGCAAGGGCAUUUCACAAGGAAUUCAUAUCACGCAUGAACCGGUGCUUUUGUUGAAUGCGCAUAAACUUCUUGGUUCGCUGCAUUUUAUAAAAAUGCUAAAUACGUGUCACAAACUAUUUCAGCCAUCGGUUGUCCACUUAAGAUGCACGUAUUUGAGUUUUAUUCUCUGAAAUCCCACUUCCGUGGUCACUAGCUCUGUAGUGUUAGCUUGGAAGUUCAUUUGAGUUAAUUAUCUGGACUUGCCUUCUGAUGUAUAAACCAAGUGAAUAAUGCAGCCUUAACGCCUCCUGCAAAACCCCACCCCCAAACUCUUGAACAAGUCACAGUGUGUGUUCAUGGGGUACUGUAGGCUUUGCUCAUUUUGCAGCAACCCAUACACCCACCACAAUUUUGUGUAAAAGGGAAAUAAAUUUUACAGCACAGUGUGUAAUUAGUGGCCAGCCUCUUGGACAUAUUCUCAUAGACAAACACAAGGUAUUUUACGCUCUGUGGAAUCCCAUCUCAGACCCUAGCAGGAUUGUUUUUGCUGAUUUCAGUCAUUUGCUGUCCUCAUAAGCUAAGCUAUUUUUGUUAAAUAAUUGAUAUGUAUAUUUGUAUUCAUUUAUAAAUAUGUACACAAAAUGAAGUGAGUAAUCAAGGAUAAUCUCUCCUCCCUGUAACCCACUGUUACCCACCGGUCAUCCUCUAACUGUUCCACUGUUCAUUUUUGUUGUUUUAAUCUUUUCAGACUGGAAAUAAACCUAUUUUAUUUGAAUAAAAUAAAAUAAAAUUGUUGUAUUAUUCUUUCACUAUAUGUCACAGCUCUAAAGGGCUGUUGUUUCAUGUUGGUUUGAUGAAUUUUGUACACAAUCAAUACUAGGGCAUGGGUAAAAAAUAUAUUUUUUCUGCUAAACUGUUAGCUUCGUUUGAAUUAUGAUAUUGAUUCUUAAAUCCCAAGAUCUAAAGUCUACCUCAGUUUUGGUUGUGUUGAUUAUCUGUUAAAUAAAUAAUAACUGAAGAGCA